Molecule: ribosomal RNA, 440 nt
Filed under: uncultured bacterium
Lineage: Bacteria
Description: bacterial SSU rRNA
Rfam family: Bacterial small subunit ribosomal RNA
Source: RNAcentral
AACAGCCAUCCGUGGCACCCGGGGGAAGACUAUUGGCGAACGGGUGCGUACACGUGAGGAACUGCCCCGGAGACGGGAUAACCCCCCGAAAGGGGAGCUAAUACCGGAUGUCCCCCUCGCAUCGCAUGGUGCGACGAGGAAAUGGAUUCCGCUCCGGGAUGGCCUCGCGGCCCAUCAGCUUGUUGGUGAGGUAAUGGCUCACCAAUGCAGCGACGGGUAGCUGGUCUGAGAUGACGAUCAGCCACACUGGGACUGAUACACGGCCCAUACUCCUACGGGAGGCAGCAGUUAGGAAUCUUGCGCAAUGGGCGAAAGCCUGACGCAGCAACGCCGCGUGGGGGAUGACGGUCUUCGGAUUGUAAACCCCUUUCAGCAGGGACGAAAUUGACGGUACCUGCAUAAGAAGCCCCGGCUAACUACGUGCCAUCAGCCGCGGUAAC